CAUUUUUCCACAAGGACAAUAGCUAUAUACUGUAGAAGUCAGCUUUUAUCCAAGUAACAACAUAUCUUAAUGAAAAUCAGUCACACUGGUUGUUUAAUUUUUUAUUUUUUAAAAAAUACUUUAUGCAAUGAAACACCACCACAAUCCUGGCAUUUUGAUCCUAUACUGUACACAUUUACUCAGAAUUAAACCCCUCUCUGUUCAACGGGCUUGCUUCAAGGUAAGAUUGCAGAGGAUUGCAUAGAACUGUAGAGUUGCAUGGGACCACACAAGUCACCUAGUCCAACCCCCUGCAAUGCAGGAAUCUUUUGCCCAAUGAGGGUCUUGAACCCAGAACCCUGAGAUUAAGAAUCUUGUGCACUACUGACUGAGCUACCAAGUGUACCUUGCAGUCCAGUCCUACGCAUGUUAAUAAGGAGUAAGUCACAUCCAGUUUACUCACAAAUAAAUGGGCAUCAGAUUACAUUCUAUUCUCCAGGCACAUUAACCCAAAGAUACUGAAUUUAUGGGGAUGUUACACUUGCCUCUCUAAGCAAAUGUGCACCAUCUGUUCUUGUCCCAAGCAAUGAUCCCAACUUGUCCGAGGAGGGGCGUAUGCUAGGGGCCAAGUCAAUGGACACCAGCACUAAUCCUGUUCCCAAAUGUAGGAGCAAAGUCAGUGCCUAAUUCAGCAGCAUCAGGCAAAACAGAGAUCGACCUUCCAGAGAGAAAGAAGCUAAGCUUAGACUUGAAUAUUACUUUGACAACUAACAAAUCCAGAAUGAGCCUUAAACAGGACUGCAGCUUCCUUUGAGCAGCGGGUCCCACUCUUGAUGGGUAAGUGGCUGGUGGGGGUGGGGCACUGAGGUUGUGUUAUGGCAGGAGUAGGGAACCUUUGGCCUUCCCGUUCAUAGAACCAUAGAGUUGGAAGGGACCUAGAGGAACAUCUAGUCCAACUCUCCCUGCAAUGCUGAACUUAAACUCCCUUCAUCCUUUGACACUGGCCAUUCUUGCCAGGUCGAUAGGAGUUGUAAUUCAGCAAGUUCUGGAAGGCCAAAAUGUUCCACACUCCCGUAUUAUGGCCUCCAAGUGGGAUUCUCAAGGAAUUGUGACCUCUUGGGUUCCAGCGGUGCUGGAACGCUCAAGGAAGCAGGGAUAGCAAAGCGUGAUUCAGAGGGGUACAUCUCCCCCUAGUCCAUGCCCUCUAUCCCUUGAUGAUGGGGUCAGAGUCAUUGCUUUCUUGAAUACCUCUUCCUCCCCAGAAAAUAGACAACAAUUUUAUUUUGCCAUUUAAUCAAGACAUAUAUUUCACUGUUGUGAUGCUCUGCAUGUUAGUGGGAGAUAUGGGUGGUACUGUACUGCUUCUCAAUCUUUUAUUUAUUGCACCUCCACAGUUGCAUUCAAUGGGCUGCUGCUGAUGCUCCCUCCUUGCCUGCGUUGUUUGCGUGCACGCAGAGCCAAUAGGGUUAUCAUCUGCUCUUGCAACCUUCCUCCAUCCACCUUGCUUAUGGGUUCUCUUGCCCCCUUCCUUCCUUCCUUCCUUCCUUCCUUCCUUCCUUCCUUCCUGUCUUCACUCAUUUUCACAAACCUAUUCUCAUUUCUAGAGUUCGUGUGAGGUUUCUGCCCCAGCCAAACUGACAACUCUCCAUUCACAGUGAACUUUCUGACAGUAUAGUCCCUGUGUAGUUGAAAUGUUGAUGAACGUUCCAUUCCAUCACAUUAGCUCAAUCACUUGGCAUGAUAGACUGAAGCGGCAGUACUAAAAACCACUAAUCCAUUCUGCAGGUGGAAGCGUUAUUCCACUGGUGUAGCUUCAUCUCUGCCAGCAAAGCUGCACUUCUGCUGCUUCCUAAGGUCGCUCAGUGAAUCUCCACUACAGAAUUGCAUCCUUAAUCCCAGAUAAGUGUGCAUAGGACCGCUGCCUUAAAUUUACCAGAGCGCACCAUUCUCCUUUGACACAGAAGUAACAUUUUACAAAUGAGGUGUGAAACCACUGCUAAUUCACUUGCGGUUACAUAAAGCCUGUCAUGAACUGCCUGCUCAAUUGUAUUUACUGGUGAUGUAAGAGGCUUGUGCUGUGACACAUACGAGGAUAGAAGUGUAAUUUUAUUCACCCAUCAGUAAACCUCUUGUUGUGUUUCUCUGUCGUGCAUUGUGACUAAUCAUCCUAAUGUCUAUUAUUAAUGGAGAAUUGCUGGAGUGAAAGCAAAGCCCACAUCUGCUUUGAAAAGAAUGCAGCUAUUUAGGAUUUGCAUCAGAGUCACUUUGAAAGCAUGGAUGACAGAUGCCCAACAGUGUCGCCCAGUGAAUUCAAAUAAAGGCAAAUCAGAGACUAACAUAGAACCACGGAAGCCACUUAAUAGUGGAGUAUUAGGGUUUUACUAGUUUGUUUCAUUGUAUUUAUUCUAAAAAUAUAUAUUCUGCGUUUCAGGACAAGUAUCCCCAACAAACUGGCAUACAAAGCCAGUCAUAAAGACUUUAAAAGCAACAAUUUUAAAUCAAUAGUAAGAUCAUGCCCCUUUAUAAGAAGCAGUAAAAACAUCAGUAAGAUGCAGCUAAGGGAUCCCCGUGUUUUUUUAGUGUACAGUUACACUGUACACUGUUUUUUAGUGUACACAGUGAGAAGAUACCAGUUGAUGAUGUGUGCCUUGCAACCUUUUUUUGGUAAAACCUGGGCUGGAACUGCUCCAGACUUUGGUGAAACGGAACACUGGUUGAAUUCUCUUAACAUUACAGUGAUGAUUAUAGAAUCAUCAAGUCGGAUGGGACCCCCAAAGGUCAUUGGUCCAACCCUCCACAGUGUAAGAAUCUAAAUUUGCUAUCUGUUGGUGCUAGAGCCACUUGUUUCUGGAUUUUUCCCCUUGGCGUUUUGGUAAAAGAAUUAGCAGUGAUUUUGUGUAUUAUGUGGCUGACCAGCGAUGACUAGAAGUCCUACUCGGAGCAACCCCCAUGGAAAUGGUUGACCUAAGUUUGUCAUGUUCAUUAAUUUCAACGGAGCUACUCUGAGUAGGAUUAGCAUUGGCAACAAACCAAUAAGUUUAUAUUUCAGACUGAAGUUACUGCCACAGAAUCAUUUUAUUAAAUAAGAACAGAGCAUACUCGUUGGGAGGCAGAAAUACUCAUUGCAUGGUCAUAACAUUUAUUUCUAUGGCUCAUAAUUUUGAAUCCCAUCACCCCCUGCUCGAUUUAAACCCCUUAGGCUGUUAUCAUGCUUUGAUUGGAUAGAAUAUUACCUGACAUUUUAUUUCUAAGUCAAUUGGCAAGAGUCUUGUAUUGUGUUUUUUAAACUAUUGAAACAAAACAGCCCACCAGAAGAUCUGUAGACCUAAUUUAAAACUCCUACUCUCUUCCACAGGCUCAUUGCGUGGUAUUACCCGAAAGUAUAAUAUGAAACACAAUUAUACAUCUGGAAGUGAAAAGCAGAAAAAGAAUAGAGAAAGAUAAGAGCAUGAAGAAGAACAGGUACGUUCAUUGCCUUUUUGAAAACUUGCUCUUCAGGGUCAUGAUGCAUCAGAGACAAUGGAAGAAUCAAGCUGUAGCAGCAGCAGGUAUUGAAGAUGUAAAAACAAGUGAAACACUGGACCUCAACUUCCCACAAAAGAUGUGACAGAUUCAGUCACUUUUGAAGGUAAAGAUGGUGUGGAAUAUGCAACUAAGUGAUAAAAAAUGUACUCCAGUCAAAACAGAAGACAGCAUAUAUUUUAGAGAAGUUCCUUACAUUAGCGACAUCGCUUUGUAGCCUAAUUCUCUUUCAUCAGAUAUGAAUGCAACUGAUAAAAGAUCAUUCAACACCCUUAAAAGAGUCAAAAAUUACUUACAUUCUGCUAUAUCUCAAGAGCAUUUAAUGAGUUUAGCAAUUUUAGCAAUUGAAAGUUCUGCAUAGCAAGAUGUAAAAUAUGACAAGUUAAUUGACAAUUUUGUGCAAAGGAAGUGUA
Non-coding RNA from Podarcis lilfordi (Lilford's wall lizard), 3914 nucleotides. The record is from the annotation of a GenBank genome assembly. NCBI's taxonomy places the organism in Eukaryota, Metazoa, Chordata, Lepidosauria, Squamata, Lacertidae.